GAUGAACGCUGGCGGCGUGCCUAAUACAUGCAAGUCGAGCGAACACACGAGGAGCUUGCUCCUCUGACGUUAGCGGCGGACGGGUGAGUAACACGUGGAUAACCUACUUAUAAGACUGGGAUAACUUCGGGAAACCGGAGCUACUACCGGAUAAUAUAUUGAACCGCAUGGUUCAAUAGUGAAAGACGGCUUUGCUGUCACUUAUAGAUGGUUCCGCGUCGCAUUAGCUAGUUGGUAAGGUAACGGCUUACCAAGGCGACGAUGCGUAGCCGACCUGAGAGGGUGAUCAGCCACACUGGAACUGAGACACGGUCCAGACUCCUACGGGAGGCAGCAGUAGGGAAUCUUCGGCAAUGGGCGAAAGCCUGAUGGAGCAACGCCGCGUGAGUGAUGAAGGUCUUCGGGUCGUAAAGCUCUGUUGUUAGGGAAGAACAAAUGUAUAAGAAUCUAUGCACGUCUUGACGGUACCUAAACAAAAAGCCACGGCUAACUACGUG
Molecule: ribosomal RNA, 497 nt
Filed under: uncultured bacterium
Lineage: Bacteria
Description: partial 16S ribosomal RNA
Rfam family: Bacterial small subunit ribosomal RNA
Source: RNAcentral